UACGUAGGUGGCGAGCGUUGUCCGGAAUUACUGGGUGUAAAGGGCGUGUAGGCGGGGAUGUAAGUCAGAUGUGAAACUCCGAAGCUUAACUUCGGAACUGCAUCUGAAACUGUGUCUCUUGAGUGCUGGAGAGGAAAGCGGAAUUCCUAGUGUAGCGGUGAAAUGCGUAGAUAUAGGAAGGAACACCAGUGGCGAAGGCGGACUUACCU
Molecule: ribosomal RNA, 209 nt
Filed under: uncultured bacterium
Lineage: Bacteria
Description: partial 16S ribosomal RNA
Rfam family: Bacterial small subunit ribosomal RNA
Source: RNAcentral